RNAcentral lists this ribosomal RNA (253 nucleotides) under uncultured bacterium. Its description in RNAcentral is "partial 16S ribosomal RNA". It matches the Rfam family "Bacterial small subunit ribosomal RNA", at positions 524 to 776 of the family's 1533-position model. The record is from RNAcentral.
UACAGAGGUCCCGAGCGUUGUUCGGAUUCACUGGGCGUAAAGGGUGUGUAGGAGGUCAGGUAAGUCGGGUGUGAAAUCCCACCGCUUAACGGUGGAAUGGCAUUCGAUACUGCUUGGCUAGAGGAUCGGAGAGGAGAGCGGAAUUCCAGGUGUAGCGGUGAAAUGCGUAGAUAUCUGGAGGAACACCGGUGGCGAAGGCGGCUCUCUGGGAGAUUCCUGACUCUGAAACACGAAAGCCAGGGGAGCAAACGGG